GCCUGACGUGGGGCUUGAAUUCCCAAGCUGUGAGAUCAUGACCUGAGCUGAAGUCAGACGCUGAAUCGACUGAGCCACCCAGGCACCCCAGGUUACCUUGUAUUUCAUGCUCCGUCUGAGCCAGUGCUUUCCUUGAUGCUUCCCCUGACCUCCAGCACAUCUGGUCAGCUUAGUCACCAGUCUGACCGUGUGCCAGGCCCUGUGCUAUGUCCCGGAGAUCUAGAAAUGAACAGGGACUCCCUCUGCCCUGGGGAAGCCGGCUGCCCGGGUGGGAGGAGAGGCUCAGAGACUAACACGGGAUGCUUGUGCCAAGGCAGAAUGUGCCGGGGGCCUUGGAGUUCACAGAGGGAACCUCUCAUCUUCUGUAGGAGAGCGAUUAGCAGCUCUGGAACUCAGACAGCCAGGGUUUUGCUCCAGACCAGUCAAAUGUAGAGGGUCUGAUAUUUGGGGGGGAAAUGAUUUUAGAUUUUGUAAGUAAAAAAUGUUGCUACAUUUACCUGAUGAUAGGACAUUCCUUCUAUGUGGCAGGAUGCCUGAUAAGAAGAGCGAUGAUUUAAAAUAGGAAGCUUCCAGAUACAUAUUUAAUGAUAUCUUCCUCCCCACUUCCUCCCUCGCCGUAUCGGGAACAACCAAGUCAAUCUUUGUCCUUGCCGUGGGCGUUACGAUUGCCAGUGACAGUUCGGGUAAGAGUGAACCCAGGAACAGGUGCUGCUUGAGCUGAGUCUUGAUGGGUGAAUGGGACUUUGCCAGCUGGAGGGGUUGGGGAGGUGGAGGGAGUUCUGGGUGAGGGAUGGAGGUGUGAAGGUACCCCCCAUUUCCAGAAGAAUAAACAUGGUUUGGCUGGGCAAAGGUUUAAGGGAGAAAGGGCAAGAGAUGGUCCUCAAAUGGUAGGUGGGGCCGGAUCCAGGGGGCUUUAAUACCGCCCGAAGGGGGUCGUGGUUUCCCACCUUCAGGCCUUUGCUCAUCAUAGACUAUGAGCCCCUCAGAAGCAAGGCUAGGACUGGGGUAAGCAAGUGGUGUGCCAAGGGAGCAACGUGUAAGGAGGCACUCACUUUCAGAGUUGUGCCAGAGCAGGGCUGGCCCCCUGAGGUGAACACGUCCUUUGUGCACUCUCGGUGCUUUCCUUUCCUCCCCCUAGACCCAGUGCUGCUCAGGAGAGAGGUCACAUUGUGUAAAUCUUUGUACCCCUAGGACCUAGGACAGUGCCUGACCAUAGUAGCAGACUAAUAAACGCUUAAUUGAAUGAAUGAAUGAAUGAAUGAAUGAGUGGUGUUUUUUGGUUUUGUUUUUGUUUUUUUCUGUCUGGAAUGUGUUUGCCCUCCUCAUGGCCAGUCAAGGUGUGUCAUUUCUUUUGUGGCUUACUUCUUCCCUGCGGCCCCUCCAGAUACACCUCCCCUGAGUCCUCAGCUCUUACAUUGUGUCAACGUCCCAUCUCCCAACCAGAUUGUGUGGCUGUGCUUGGAAGAAGAGGUAACCACAGUGGGUGCUUACACUGGAGGCUGAUCAAAUCUCAGAAUCUUCCCUGGGCAGGCUCAGUAGUUCUAGAAUAUCCUGGCCCCUUGGACGGGAAGGACCAGCCACCACUGCCACUGUUGCUGCUGUCGCUGCUGUGUAGGGUCUCCUUCCCCUCUCCUUCCCUCCUCUUUAUGGGGCCAGACUCAGAAAAGCUUCUGGAGGUGGUGUCUCCAAACUGCUCCUCCACAGUACUACCCACUUACCCAGCCUGCUUCCUCUGCUCAGCCCCUUUGGACCACGGCCAGCUGAUCACUGCUCACGCAAUUACGAAGGCCCCAGAGGUCUUUUGAGACACCCACGCCUCCCUGCCCUUCUGACUGAUGGGACUCCUCACCAGGUGCGGAACCCAUUGGCUCUUGGCUGAGAAAUGAGGUUAAACCUGGACACUGCUGGGAUAUGGAAGCUGGGGGAUGAUUAAUGAUACUACUCAGGAAGGGUUGAGACAUUUGCAUUUCUGUCCAGCAGAGGAUCUAUUUCAAUCAGGAAGUUACUCUUGCUGCCCAAAGAAGCAGAAUAGUCCCCUCCCACGCUCACUUACUGCUGAAGGGAGGAUGGUCACGCAGCAUCAUGUGGGCAGUGCAAUCACAGAGCGCCCAGGCGGGAGAGCUGAGCUGCACCGACGCGCCCAGAAGGGGGCCACUGCCCCUCAUCCAUGAGAGCUGGUAUCCUGAGAACAAUAGCCCUGAGUGCACCGACCUCUGAGGAACACUGUUGCGAAAGAAUCAGUGUUCAGUCCAAGUUCAAGAACAUUUCCAGAUGUUACGGAUACCUGGGCCAGGUGGCCCUUACCUGACGUAGAAAGCCAAGAUUCUGGAGCCCAGAAAGGCAGGCCAGGAGUGGGAAGAGCAGGCCCAGGAUGGAUUUUCUGUCAUCACUGCUCGGGGUCUAGGAGCUGGAGCAGUGUGGCAUCCCUACCCGGCCCGGCAGCUGAAGACGGGGGAAACUGAGGCCCAGAGAGGUUCUAGAACUGCCAGAAAGCGCUGGAUCCAGGAUACAGAACAUUAGCUAAAGCUGAGCUACGGCAGACCUCGGUUUCCUUGUACCUAAAAGUGGACCAGCCUUUGUUACAGCCACAGCCCAGGCUGCAGCAAAAGCUUAAAUGGAAUCGUGAGUUCUGCCAUGUACUCUGCUUCAGAAGUUCCGGGGAGCAGAGGACACUCGAGGUCGCAUCCUCAGUGUGGCCUGGAUCCUUCUCCCCUUUUGUUCUCCUGGAGAACGUCUUGCAGUAUAGCUGAUCCUGGAUGUCGGAGAGGUCGCGUGUGACUCUGAGCAGUAUGUCUGGCGUGGAGGCGUAAGAGAGGCCUGAUGCCCACGGAGGAUUUCACGUGUUAACAGGAUGGCCCUGUAUACAGAAGCAACCAAGGGCGCCAGCACGGGGACACCAGCACCGGAUAGCACCUCGUAAGGACAAGACACUGAAUUUCUCCUUUGCCCUCUCAUGGAAGUCAUCUGCGAUCCCUCCGGGGGUGAGUAUUAUGUGUGCCCUGAGAUGGUCCCUGAGGGCGGCCAUAUGGACCCGCGUGCUGCCAGGCUGGCUGUGUGCCCCAGAUCCUGAGCUGUCGGUGGAGAUAGGGGUCGAGCCCAGAGACCCCAGCCAGAAUUACUUUGGCACGUGUUUUCAUUUCUACCUGAACUUUGAGAAGCACGGACAUUCCCCAAAAUCCAUUUUCCUCGUUUGCUGGGGCAGACACCGCUCGUUUAUGGCCCUGGGAAGGAAGACAUCACACCUCAAGUGCCAUUCCGAUCCCAGAAUGUCAUCAGGACCACCCCUGCGCUGAGACUUUUCACCUGCAACACUGAGGCUCAGAGAGGGCACGUGAGGGCCCCAUAGCCACACAGCAAACAGAAGGAAAGUAACUGCUGAAGACGCCCCCAGGGACCCAGCCGGAGGCCCCAGUCCAGCAGGGGCAGAGAGCCCGGGGUGGAAAGGGCCAGAGAGCAGGGGAGGGGCAGAGAGAGAAAAACACACAGAAUCCGAAGCAGGC
This is a long non-coding RNA of Leopardus geoffroyi (Geoffroy's cat), 3500 nucleotides long. RefSeq lists it as uncharacterized. The record is from RefSeq and is a predicted model, not a curated record. Lineage: Eukaryota; Metazoa; Chordata; Mammalia; Carnivora; Felidae. The transcript has 12 exons.